GCCGCUAUGGUGAAAUCGGUAGACACGUGCUUCUUAGGAAGCGUGCUAGAGAAUCUCGGUUCGAGUCCGAGAGUGGCG
Molecule: transfer RNA, 78 nt
Filed under: Centaurea solstitialis (yellow star-thistle)
Lineage: Eukaryota; Viridiplantae; Streptophyta; Magnoliopsida; Asterales; Asteraceae
Description: tRNA-Leu
Source: RNAcentral